GGCGAUGUGCGGCGUGCCUAUACAUGCAGUCGAACGAACUCUGGUAUUGAUUGGUGCUUGCAUCAUGAUUUACAUUUGAGUGAGUGGCGAACUGGUGAGUAACACGUGGGAAACCUGCCCAGAAGCGGGGGAUAACACCUGGAAACAGAUGCUAAUACCGCAUAACAACUUGGACCGCAUGGUCCGAGCUUGAAAGAUGGCUUCGGCUAUCACUUUUGGAUGGUCCCGCGGCGUAUUAGCUAGAUGGUGGGGUAACGGCUCACCAUGGCAAUGAUACGUAGCCGACCUGAGAGGGUAAUCGGCCACAUUGGGACUGAGACACGGCCCAAACUCCUACGGGAGGCAGCAGUAGGGAAUCUUCCACAAUGGACGAAAGUCUGAUGGAGCAACGCCGCGUGAGUGAAGAAGGGUUUCGGCUCGUAAAACUCUGUUGUUAAAGAAGAACAUAUCUGAGAGUAACUGUUCAGGUAUUGACGGUAUUUAACCAGAAAGCCACGGCUAACUACGUGCCAGCAGCCGCGGUAAUACGUAGGUGGCAAGCGUUGUCCGGAUUUAUUGGGCGUAAAGCGAGCGCAGGCGGUUUUUUAAGUCUGAUGUGAAAGCCUUCGGCUCAACCGAAGAAGUGCAUCGGAAACUGGGAAACUUGAGUGCAGAAGAGGACAGUGGAACUCCAUGUGUAGCGGUGAAAUGCGUAGAUAUAUGGAAGAACACCAGUGGCGAAGGCGGCUGUCUGGUCUGUAACUGACGCUGAGGCUCGAAAGUAUGGGUAGCAGACAGGAUUAGAUACCCUGGUAGUCCAUACCGUAAACGAUGAAUGCUAAGUGUUCGGUGGGGUGUCCGCCCUUUCCCUGCUUUUAGCUAACGCCUUUAUGCCUUUCCGCCCUGCGGGGGUUCGGCCCCCAAGGCUUAAAACCCCCACC
This 920-nucleotide ribosomal RNA is filed under the name Lactiplantibacillus plantarum. RNAcentral describes it as "bacterial SSU rRNA". It matches the Rfam family "Bacterial small subunit ribosomal RNA", at positions 32 to 873 of the family's 1533-position model. The record is from RNAcentral. Lineage: Bacteria; Bacillati; Bacillota; Bacilli; Lactobacillales; Lactobacillaceae.